UACGUAGGGGGCAAGCGUUGUCCGGAUUUAUUGGGCGUAAAGAGCGUGUAGGCGGCUUUACAGGUCCGUUGUGAAAACUCGAGGCUCAACCUCGAGACGCCGGUGGAAACCGUAAAGCUAGAGUCCGGAAGAGGAGAGUGGAAUUCCUGGUGUAGCGGUGAAAUGCGCAGAUAUCAGGAAGAACACCCGUGGCGAAGGCGGCUCUCUGGGACGGUACUGACGCUGAGACGCGAAAGCGUGGGGGAGCGAACAGG
RNAcentral lists this ribosomal RNA (254 nucleotides) under uncultured bacterium. RNAcentral's name for it is "partial 16S ribosomal RNA". It matches the Rfam family "Bacterial small subunit ribosomal RNA", at positions 524 to 776 of the family's 1533-position model. The record is from RNAcentral.